GUUGCGGGACUGGGUCACGUGACAGGCCUUGCGCAGCAGCGACUCCAGGAACAGCUCCAGGGCCCGCGCUGGGACGCUAAGGACGGACAGGUGUGCAGGGACAGACAGACAGGUGUGCAGGGACAGACAGGUGUGCAGGGAUGGACAGACAGGUGUGCAGGGACGGACAGGUGUGCAGGGACAGACAGGUGUGCAGGGACGGACAGACAGGUGUGCAGGGAUGGACAGACAGGUGUGCAGGGACGGACAGACAGGUGUGCAGGGAUGGACAGACAGGUGUGCAGGGACGGACAGACAAGUGUGCAGGGACAGACAGGUGUGCAGGGAUAGACAGACAGGUGUGCAGGGACAGACAGGUGUGCAGGGACGGACAGACAGGUGUGCAGGGACGGACAGACAGGUGUGCAGGGGACACCCACAGGUGCACAGGGGACACCCCCAGGGACGCAGGGGACACCCACAGCUGAGCAGGGGACACCCACAGGUGCGCAGGGGACACCCACAGGGACACGCCAGGUGCGCAGGGGACACCCCCCAGGUGUCCAGGAUGGGCAGACUCAGGUGUCACAGGUAGGAGCACCUGGGAGGGCUGAGCUGUGCAGGUUGGGGGUGCCCAGGUGAGCAGGGUGAGGUCACAGGGGUGCCCAGGUAUGCAGGGAGGGGUCCCAAAGGUGCCCAGGUGUGCAGGGUGGUGUCCCAGGUGUGCCCAGGUGUGCCAGA
This is a long non-coding RNA of Serinus canaria (Common canary), 720 nucleotides long. RefSeq lists it as uncharacterized. Lineage: Eukaryota; Metazoa; Chordata; Aves; Passeriformes; Fringillidae. The record is from RefSeq and is a predicted model, not a curated record. The transcript is spliced from 4 exons.